AGAGCCAUGAAAUAAUCAGGAGACAAACUUUUGGGGACUUUUGAUUGACUAGAUGUAGCAACGCUGUGGAAGACUUCUGGCCUGCCAUUUCCUGAGAAUGGGACUGCUAAGAGAGGAGCUGGGAGGAGCGCUGCAAAUUUCGCUUUGGACACCUGAGUCAGCGGUAUCUGUAAAGGGACCUAGUUGGGAGACCAAGCAGGCAAUUUGACAUGUGGGCCAGGAGCACAGAGAAGGGGCUUGAGGAUGCAUAUUUGGGUAUUGCCAUGGUUCCAAUGUCCCCUCCAAAACUCAUGUUGAAACUUAAUCCUCCAAGUGGCAGCAUGGAAAGGUGGGGUCUUUAAGAAGUGACUGGAUCAUGAAGGCUCUAUUCUCAUUAUUGAAUGAAUUAAUCAUGGGAGAACUGGCGGCUUUAUAAGAAGAGAAAGCAAGUCCUGUGCUAGCACCUUAGCCCCCUUACCAUGUCAUGCCCUGAACCCCUCAGGACUCUGCAGAGUCCCCAUCAGCAAGAGAGCUCUCACCAAAUGCAGCCCCUCAACUUUGGACUUCUCAGCCUUCAGAGCUGUAAGAAAUAAAUUCCCUUUCUUUUUAAAUUACCCAGUUUCAGAUAUUCAUUUUUUAAAUUUUAUUAUUAUUAUUAUUAUUUUUGAGAUGGAGUCUCACUCUGUUGCCCAAGCUGGAGUGCAGUGGUGCAAUCUCAGCAUACUGCCACCUCCACUCCCUGGGUUCAAACAAUUCUCCUGCCUCUGUUUCUUGAGUAGCUAUUACAGGCGCCUGCCACUGUGCCCAGCUAAUUUUUGCAUUUUUAGUAGAGACAGGGUUUCACCCUCUUGGCCAGGCUGGUCUUGAACCCCUGACCUGGUGAUCCACCCUCCUUGGUCUCCCAAAGUGCUGGGAUUACAGGUGUGAGCUACUGCACCUGAUUCCAGUUUCAGAUAUUCUGUUAUAAGCAACAGAAAUAGACUAACUAUCUUUGACAUGGAGUGGGUACUGGAAGUCAUGUGAUUUCUGUGGAAUCAUCUUGAAAGAAAGCGUAAAAUGAGAAGACACAAGGGCCCAGGAAAGAGCCCUAGGGAGCUCAGCAUUUGCCCAGGAAAAGGGAGAAGAGGAAGGAGCCUGUUACGAAUCUGAGGAGGAGCAGCCAGAGGAGGGGGAACUCAGGAAAGCAUGCUGGUGUGGGAGUCAGGAGAAGUGUGUCAGAAGGGAGCAGUUGACAAUGUCAGAAGCUGCCAAGAGGCACAGUAAGAUUGAGGGAGGAAGUGAGUGCGGCUGUUUCCUUUUGGGCCAGAAUUUCAAAACACCAGGAUGAAAGGGCAUCUAACAAAUAGCAAGUAUGCAAACUAACUUUUGUACCUACCAGACUUCAGACUAAAACUAGUACAAGGGAUAGUUGCCAGGGUAAGGAGAAGCCCAGGAAAUUACAAGAGAAUGUCCAGUUUCUAAAAUGACUUACAAACAAUUAUCAUCCAAACAAAUAGUAUGAAAAAAUAUACACCUGAAAAAAUGCGUGAAAAUGGCCAAGAAAACACUGAAAAUCAAGGUUAAUGGAGGAAGAUUUUACUGCCAGUUAUUAAAAUUUACUAUCAGCUGUGCUGACUGGAACUGCCAGAAUAGAUAACAAGCCAGGAUGGGAAGCCCUGAUACAUGACUUUGGUGGGGACUGUAGGUAGCUCCUCUGGCUACCUUCUUUCCAGUUGAAUAGGUUGGAUAUCUAACUCCCUUGCAACUAGGUUCAGCUACUCAGGUGUCCUUAAGUUAGACUUGAAAGGCAGAGAGCAGAGGCCAUUUUCCUGCUGUUUCUGAUGGAGAUGCAGGGCUUCCAUAGGAAAGAGGGGUCCACCUGUAUAAAGAUCCCAACAGCCAUAUUCUCCAGGUGUUCAGUCCCUCUUUGCCCCUCCAAAACCAAGUGACAGUCCAAGAGACUCUGCCCAUGGAGACUCCACCUGCUGGUCCUCCAGGUGGAGUAACUGAUAACAAGUCUCUAGCUUACUCCUAAGUGUUUAUUCUGAAGGCAGAGUAUGUGCAGCAAGACCAGAUUUUUGGCCCAGCUAGCAUUGACUACUGCAAUGUCAAAAGAGCACACAAACAGACUUGAAAAGCAAAUGACAAACUGGGAAAAAUGGCUGUAACAUAGGCAGCAAAAGGCUGACAUUCUAUAAAGAGUUCUUGCAUAUGAAUAAGACAAAGAUGAAUCCAAGCGGGCAAAAGUUUAUGUUUAGGCAAUUGGCAAAACUGAUGCAUAAAAACAGGUUUAACAUUAUUAAUAAUUAAUGGCAUAAAGCUUAAAACAAUAAUACAAGACCAUUGUUCCAUUACAUUGUCAAAGAUGACAAUAAAAUGAUGUGACAGUGAAGGAUGUGGAGAAAAGUUGGUAUCAAAGCUGUGCCAUCUUUCUGUAUAUCUUUCAUAUUAAUCAAACACCUUCAACAAUGAGCACACCUUUUGACACCAGUUCCCAGACUUUAUUCUGAAUAAAAUGACAUGCACACAGAUUUAGCUACAAGUACUUUUGCAAAAGUUAAAAGUUGAAAACAACCCAAAUGUACAAAAAUAAGAGAGAUAAUUAUGGUACAUUUGUAUAAUGGUAUGCCACUUGGUCAUUAAAAAUGCCAUAGAAGGCCGGGCGUGGUGGCUCACGCCUGUAAUCCCAGCACUUUGGGUGGCCAAGGCAGGCGGAUCACCUGAGGUCAGGAGUUUAAGACCAGCCUGACCAACAUGGAGAAACCCAGGCAUUGUGGCGCAUGCCUGUAAUCCCAGUUACUCAGGAGGCUGAGGCAGGAGAAUCGCUUGAAUGAUAGAGAGGUUACAGUAAGCCAUGAUCAUGCCAUUGCACUCCAGUCAGGGCAACAAGAGCGAAAACUCCAUCUCAAAAAAAAAAAUGCCAUAUAAGUAUAUCUUUUGACAGGCUUAUUUCUGGCUUCUGGUUUUAGGUGGUUUUUGUUUUUUAAUUUUAUUUAUGGUUUACUAUUUUCCUGUAAUUAUUGCAUAUUUUUUAAUAAUGAUUUUUUAAACUGGCAAUUAUAUGGUGAAAAGGAGAGAAAGGCAUUAGUAAAUUCUGAAGCGACUGAAAUUAAAUUGUAACUCAUCAUUAAUAAAUAAGCAUCAAGGCCAACAUGGUGAAACUCCGUCUCUACUACAGAUACAAAAAAUUAGCCGGGUGUGGUGGUAUGUGCCUGUAAUCCCAGCUACUUGGGAGGCUGAGGCAGGAGAAUCGCUUGAACCCAGGAGGCAGAGGUUGCAGUGAGCCAAGAUCGCGCCUUUGCACUCCAGCCUAGGUAACAGGGAGAGACUCCGUCUCAAAAAAAAAGUAUAUAUAUAAACAAACAAGUAAACAUCAUUACAUACUAACAUUUACCUAAAAUAAACUAGAUUUCAUUUACCUGAAAUAAACUAGAUUUUGUUUUUCUACUAUGGGAGGAAAGACCUAAAAUAAAAAUGGACUUGAAUUAUAGAAAAUAAAGUUACAAUUCAGGCAUAUGUCUUUGAACUGAAAUUUGUACCUGUUAUGUGUGUAUAAAAAAUAUAUCCACUAGUUUAAAACAGUGGUUCCUUUCAGGGGUGGUGUUAGAGGGAGGCAGGAGACAAUUUUUUGUUUACACAACUCUAUUUGACUUGUUAUAACAAGCAUGAAAAAUCAAAGGUCACUUAAAAAGUAAAAAUGGUUAUAAUUAUGAAAAUACUUAGAAAUAUGUAAAGUAUCUACAGUAUGAUCAUUAGAAAUCAUAUAUAUCACAGUAUACUGUGCUUAUAACUAUGUUCUUCAUAUAUUUCCAUGUGAAAGAAGCCUGAACAGAAUACUCUGCAAUGAAAAUAGUGUUUAAGUUAAUUCAUUCCUUCAUUUAUUCCACAAAUGUGUGCUGAGCUGCUACUAUAGGCCGGGCAACUGUUGUAGGCACCUGGGAUAUAGCAGGCAAUCAAAAGUCAAAUGUGCCUCCACUCAGGGAACCUAAAUUCUAGUAGCAGGAGACAGACAAUACAUGGUUAACACAGUGAGUAUUUAGGAGGUGUGAGUUCGUGCCAUGAGAAAAGUGGAGCAGGCCAAGGGAGACUAGCAGUGCUCUGGGUCAGGGGCAGGUUUGAAUAGGUUGGUCAGGAAAGGCCUCACUGAGGUGACAUGGGAGGAAGACUCGGAAGAGCUGAACGGGUCUGUCCUGGAAAUGCCUGGAAGAGGAGUUUUGCAAGUAGAAAACAGCCAGUGCAGAGGCCAGUGCAGCUGACAGAGACAGCUAAGCAGGCCAGUGGGUUGUCCGGCUCUGCGACCGUUGUAAAGACUUUAGCGUUUUAUUUCAUGCAAACUAAGAAGCCACUGUGCGGUUUGGAGCAAAGAAACGACAGGAUUCCCGUGGCUGCUGUGCGGAAAUGACAGCUACUGGGAGGGUGGAGAGGACAGGGUGACCUAGGUGUUCAGGUGAGAGAUGAAGCGGGGCUGUGGAUAUGCCGAGAUGAUGCAGCCUAGACACAGACUGAAGGCAGAGUCAACAGGGUUUCUAAUCAGAUUGUGUCAACAGCGUGAGAGAGUGAGGCUGGCUCUUCGGGUUCUGGCUUGAGUGAAGGGAGCCGCCAUUAAUGAUGAUGGGAAAGACAGGUGGGCGGAGGUUUGGAGAUGGGGGAAGAAAAGGGUCUUAUUUUUUUCCUCCUUGGAAUAAUAUAUUCCAAGCAAUAUAUAAUUAAGCAAUAUGUAUUUUUUCCAUUAAGAAAGUCCCAAAUAUUAUACUGUUCCAAAUAAAAAAAUCAUUUCAAGACUCCUGACGCAGCAACCAUUACAAUCCCAGUACUGUUAAUGUUCCAGUCAAGUCAGUCCGUGCUCUGGAGACAUCCCAUGACGCAACACAGGCCAGGAGACCAGGCCUAGAUUCCGGUUUUCGAAAAAGGGGGCAAAAACGGAGGCUGCAAAUCCAUCCCCAGUCCUGGCAAGAUUCUCGAAAAUGGCGGGAGAGGGCUGCAUAAGAACUUCAAAAACGAGCAGCGGGUUCCUUGGAUUCAGCGUGAGGGGAAAAAACCGCGGGGCAAUUUUGGAACUUAAGAGUCCAUGUUUGAAGGAGCCGGAGGCUGCCUGCGAGGAGCCCCGGGCACGACUGUUAGGGCCGCGCCGGCCAGGCCGCCCUCCUCCAGGCAGCCUCGGUUGGGCCGCUUCCGCGCCGGCGGGCCCGGCCGCAGGUACCUGGCCAGCACUUGUCCGAGGGCAGCGCGGGCGCACCCUGCAAGAGUCCUGUCUCGUCAAGAGAGGCAGCGAGAGACAGCAGCAAUGAACGAAACAGAAUCUUCCUCAACUACUGCUACACAAGAGCCCCCAGCCGAGGAGCAGGAACACACAAGCCCCGGUGCUUUCUGAAAACCUUGUCGCCAGGACCCGCGACAAGCAGGGGAGCAGCGCUCUUUUCGAAAAGCCAGGCCAAGCGGGCCGUUGCUGGGCGACCUUUGGGCGGAGGGAGAGGGCAGGGCUGCCCCGCACCGGCUCCGUCCUCACUUCAGCAUCCUCGCCCCGCCCCUCCCGCUCAAGCCCCACCUAGCACCCGGAGGGCUGACGCAUGCGUGCUUCUUCCCGCGUGGCUCCAGGAGCCGCGCGCUCCCACAGCCGGCCAGUCUCUUCUGCCCCGCCCCCUCCUGUUAACACCGAAAUCUGCCUCCUGGGCCAUGCGGCUUCUAAGACCUGUUUCUUCUCAUGAGCCCCAGCAGAAGAUUAUGGGCCAGUUCUCACAGUGGAUAACUUCCCCUGCUUGAGCAAGAGAUGGGAUAGUAUCUGGGAUCUGUCUAUCACCAGACUCUGAGCUUAAUAAGGCAGCUGAAUGAAGGGAUGUAACGGACCCCUGAGAGUGGCACUGAAGUCUGCAGUGGGGGGGGAGGGGCCUGGACACACCCCUUCCCCCCCAGACUCCUCCCCUUCAGGGUCAGCUCAGCCAUGGACUUUGGACCUGGAUAGGAAGAGAGAAGCUGCACUUUGUUUGGUGGAUCUGAUUUGGGAUUCUCAGUUUUGGAAAAGGAGUGCUGGAUGGGGGCUUGACGAUCUCCAGGGGAGCAGCUGAGACAAGAAAGGUGCUGAUGGCUGCAUAAUGAAUCACCCCAGAACUUAGUGGCUUACAACAACAGACUCAUUUUAUUAACGUCUCAGCUAUGUGGUUUUUGCUUGUGGUCUUUCAUGUGGUUGCAGUCAGGUAAUAGUGCAAGCAGUCUUCCAUCUAGCCACUUGAACCUCAUACAUGUGCCAAGUACUGUGAUGGGCACAAAGGUCAUAGAGUCUUCCUCCUAAGGAGGAAGGUGGGAGUCAGGUAAGUAUGGCCACAGAUCCUGUUACAGCAUGGAGAGAGUGCUGUGGGAGUGUAGCCUGGCUCUGUGAUGUUACAAAAGGAGUCACCUGAAGUGGCUUGAAAGGAUGUGUGGGUGGCUGGCAGGCAGUGCCAUGGGUCUUGUUUCAGGAUGAGGGACCAGCUGGAGCAAAGACACAGCAGUGUCCAAGUGUACUUAUCGGGGAAAAAGCAGCUUGCUGAGGCCAGAGUGCAGGGUUCAUGGGGUUAGUGGUUGGAUGUAAGGUUGAAAAAGGAUAUUUGAGCCAGUCUGUAUGAAGGGCUUUGUAUGUCAUAAUAAUGAGCUUGAGUUUUAUUUUGUGGGCAUUGCAGCCUCUGAUGGUUUUUAAGGCAAGUUAGUGUCGUGACCAGGCGUGCUCGUCAGGAGGGAUGUGCUGUUGCUGUUGGAAAGGUUUGUGAGAGGGAAGCAAGAUUAGUGACAGACCUGCUGGGAAACUACAUCAAGAGUCAGACUUAAAACAGUAUUUCAUACGAAGGAAUGAGUUCAGGUUAAAGGGCUGGGGGUCUUGACAUGGGAUGCAGUGAAUGAGUAACUUUGUACUCCCCUUUUCAUAGUUUUGAAGUUCUUGGGCCUAGAUGUGUUUCAGAAUUCAGAAUUUUUUGGAUUUUGAAAAGAUGAUCUGGUGAAUUGACUGUGUAGUGGAAGAUCAGAAGCAGAACAGCAUAAGCCACGAUGUUUAUUUCUGUAGCAAAAUGUAUGAAUAGCCACAGCAGGAAAGAUAAAAGACUAUAAAUAGCCUCACAUUAGAUCAGAUCAGAUUUUACCAAAUGAGGUUGGGUGAGGUUUUACUGCCAAUUGAGUUUAGAAAACUUCUGUUUUUUUAGUGCUACUUGGAUUUGGCAGUUGCAGUUGAGGAACUGUGGAUGUUUUCAGAUCCCAGGCACAUCUGAAUAUUGAGGGCACUAGCACAGCAGCUUGGCAGUGCUGGUGGAGACAAUCUCUGUCUUCAUGUAGCUUGUAGCUGAGGGGGUCUGAUAGAAGUUGAGCAAGUGGUUGCACUUGCUGCUGUUGGUGAAAGGUAGGUGGACUUUGCAUGGUCCCAGACAUCAAGGAAGAUAUCUUGGCAGAGACAAAAAUCAGAGUGUGCCAGGUGAGAAGAUAGGGAAGAACAGACCUGGCACAUGGGCACAUGCAGAGACCCCGAUGGUAGGGUUGGCUGUUUUGGGACCAGAUGGGAAUGUGGUAGAGUAGAACAAAGAGAAUGGGGAGAAAGGAGUGAAGUGACUGGCUAAUAUUUACAUAGUCAUGCUGGGCAUGGUUCUAAACACCUAACAUGGCUUAUCUCAUCCAGUCUUCACAGCAACCCAGUUUGAGUCUCAGAAAUGUGACGAAAUGUAGGGGAAUGCCUCUGAGCUAUGGCUUGCCUUUGUUGCUGCUGCACUGUCCUGAUGGUGGCCUGAGCAGUGCUUCCUGGAGGAGCAGGUCACCGCUGCUGGCCAGGGUCUGGGCUUGAUCAUCCUUUGGGCACAGCCAGCACUUCAGUGAAUAGAGUUCAGUCCCUCUUCUCUUUCCCGAUCCGAUUAAAUAAGUCUUUUUCUUGCACAGUCAUUUAGGAGGCAGGAAGUUGGGAGGCAGAGAAUCCUGGCCAUGAGAUUGGGAUUAAGUUCCAACAUGGACAAUAUCCUGAGGGAACAGUGAAGAAAGAAACUGACAGUGCUGGGUGCAGUGGCUCACACCUGUAAUCCCAACACUUUGGGAGGCUGAGGAGGGUAGAUCACUUGAGGUCAGGAGUUCGAGACCAGCCUGGUCUCUAUUAAAAAUACAAAAAUUAGCUGGGCGUAGUGACAGGCGCCUGUAAUCCCACCUACUCAGAAGACUGAGGCAGGAGAGUCGCUUGAACCUGGGAGGCAGAGGUUGCAGUGACCUGAGAUCAUGCCACUGUACUCCAGCCUGGGCAACAGAGCAAGACUGUCUCAAAAAAAGAAAAGUAAAGAAAGAAAACUUAAACUCUUCUGUGCAUCACUCUCUUCUUCCACAUAAAAUUUCUUAAAAAUAAAAUAUGAGAAGAUGGCCCACCACUCUGAGUAGCUUCCUCCAUCAGUAUGUCCCCAGCUGGGCACAGCAGUAAGGCUAACUGAAAUGAUGUUUACCCUGAAUUCCUUAGUCACUUGAUGACAUGUAUCUAUUGAUAUAUAGCAUAUAUGAGCCCUGAUAAAAUACGAAUUUAAUUGCACAGUUACAUGGAAAUGGACUUGAGGUUUCUGAGAAGACUGAUGUCCUGGAGUGGUGGGGGUGGUUGGUUUCUAGGAAGAAGACGAGUGGUGGUGGAUGCUGGCAGGGGCUGGGGGAGUUUCCCCAGGAGGGAGACAGAAUCCAGGCCCCUUGAGAAGCCCUUCAGGAUCAGCCCUUUUAUGCCAGAUCUGCUGGCUUGAGAGCCCAGGGCUUCAGAUUAGAUCUGAGGCCCAAGGUUUUGGCUAGGAUUAGAGAGUAGGCUCUGAGGCAGAGGGCAACUGGCAGAGCUGUUGGUAUAAGAGGGUACAUGCCUGAAGCUUUGGGGUUUGAAGGGUAAACCAGAGGCAGGACAGUCAAGGAGUUAUGGUCUGGAAUGGCAGCUGGCUGGGAACUGGGGAGUGUUUUAAAUCCUUUUAAGUAAUGUGGUAGGGCCAUGCCUUUUUCUCAUUGGUUUGUGUCCUGGU
Molecule: non-coding RNA, 8936 nt
Organism: Callithrix jacchus (white-tufted-ear marmoset)
Lineage: Eukaryota; Metazoa; Chordata; Mammalia; Primates; Cebidae
Source: RefSeq, a predicted model, not a curated record